GAUGAACGCUAGCGGCAGGCUUAACACAUGCAAGUCGAGGGGCAGCGUGAAGGUUAGCAAUAACCCUUGACGGCGACCGGCGCAAGGGUGCGUAACGCGUGAGCAACUUGCCCUUAAUCAGGGGGAUAACCGGUGGAAACGCCCGACUAAUACCCCAUGGGCAUUGAGUUGAGGCAUCUCUACUCAAUUAAAGAAAUUCGGAUAAGGAUAGGCUCGCGUGACAUUAGCUAGACGCGGGGUAACGGCUCACCAAGUCUGCGAUCAGUAGCCGGUCUGAGAGGAUGAACGGCCACAUUGGGACUGACGAUACGGCCCAGACUCCUACGGGAGGCAGCAGUGGGGAA
This 344-nucleotide ribosomal RNA is filed under the name uncultured bacterium. RNAcentral's name for it is "bacterial SSU rRNA". It matches the Rfam family "Bacterial small subunit ribosomal RNA", at positions 28 to 361 of the family's 1533-position model. The record is from RNAcentral.